Molecule: ribosomal RNA, 553 nt
Filed under: uncultured bacterium
Lineage: Bacteria
Description: bacterial SSU rRNA
Rfam family: Bacterial small subunit ribosomal RNA
Source: RNAcentral
UGGGGAAUAUUGGAUAAUGGGCGAAAGGAUCCAGCCAUGCCGCGUGUGUGAAGAAGGCCUUUUGGUUGUAAAGCACUUUAAGUGGGGAGGAAAAGCUUAUGGUUAAUACCCAUAAGCCCUGACGUUACCCACAGAAUAAGCACCGGCUAACUCUGUGCCAGCAGCCGCGGUAAUACAGAGGGUGCAAGCGUUAAUCGGAAUUACUGGGCGUAAAGCGCGCGUAGGUGGUUAUUUAAGUCAGAUGUGAAAGCCCCGGGCUUAACCUGGGAACUGCAUCUGAUACUGGAUAACUAGAGUAGGUGAGAGGGGAGUAGAAUUCCAGGUGUAGCGGUGAAAUGCGUAGAGAUAGAUUUGGAGGAAUACCGAUGGCGAAGGCAGCUGCUCCCGCGGCAUCAUACUGACAUGAGGUGCGAAAGCGUGGGUAGCAAACAGGAUUAGAUACCCUGGUAGUCCACGCCGUAAACGAUGUCUACCAGUCGUUGGGUCUUUUAAAGACUUAGUGACGCAGUUAACGCAAUAAGUAGACCGCCUGGGGAGUACGGCCGCAAGGUUA